This 680-nucleotide ribosomal RNA is filed under the name fungal endophyte. Its description in RNAcentral is "eukaryotic LSU rRNA". The stretch from base 179 to 332 matches the Rfam family "5.8S ribosomal RNA". The record is from RNAcentral. Lineage: Eukaryota; Fungi.
UAAAGAGUUCUAUAACUCCCAAACCCAUGUGAACAUACCUAACGUUGCCUCGGCAGGUCGCACCUACCUUGUAGCACCCUACCCUGUAGGGCCUACCCGGGAGGUGCGGGUAAGCCUGCCGGCGGCCCACCAAACUCUGUUUGAUAUUGAAUUCUGAACCUAUAACUAAAUAAGUUAAAACUUUCAACAACGGAUCUCUUGGUUCUGGCAUCGAUGAAGAACGCAGCGAAAUGCGAUAAGUAAUGUGAAUUGCAGAAUUCAGUGAAUCAUCGAAUCUUUGAACGCAUAUUGCGCCCAUUAGUAUUCUAGUGGGCAGGACCGUUCGAGCGUCAUUUCAACCCUUAAGCCUUCGUUGCUUAGUGUUGGGAGCCUACGGCAACGUAGCUCCUCAAAGUUAGUGGCGGAGUUGGUUCACACUCUAGACGUAGUAAUUUUUUAUCUCGCCUAUUAGUUGGACUAAUCCCCUGCCGUAAAACCCCCAAUUUAUCAAGGUUGACCUCGAAUCGGUUCAGACAAACUCGCUAAAUUGAAGCAUCUUAGUCAGCGAAGGAAAAGAAACCAACAGGGAUUGCCCUAGUAACGGCGAGUGAAGCGGCAACAGCUCAAAUUUGAAAUCUGGCCCUCGGGUCCGAGUUGUAAUUUGUAGAGGAUGCUUUUGGCGCGGUGCCUUCCGAGUUCCC